CGCCGUAAACGAUGGGUACUAGGUGUUGGGAGGAUUGACCCUUUCCAGUGCCCGACGCUAACCGCAUUAAGUACCCCCGCCUGGGGAGUACGGCCGCAAGGCUGAAACUCCAAAGGAAUUGACGGGGGCCCGCACAAGGCGGUGGAGCCAUGUGGUUUAAUUCGAAGCAACGCGAAGAACCUUACCUGGGCUUGACAUGUCGGUAGUACUUCCCCUGGAAACAGGGGGGGACCCUUCGGGGAGCCGUCACAGGUGCUGCAUGGCUGUCGUCAGCUCGUGUCGUGAGAUGUUGGGUUAAGUCCCGCAACGAGCGCAACCCUCGCCCGUAGUUGCCAGCGGUUCGGCCGGGGACUCUACGGGGACUGCCGGUGAUAAACCGGAGGAAGGUGGGGAUGACGUCCAAGUCAUCCAUGGCCCUUAUGUCCAGGGCGACACACGUGCUACCAAUGGCCGGUACAGAGGGCAGCAAUACCGCGAGGUGGAGCGAAUC
Molecule: ribosomal RNA, 490 nt
Filed under: uncultured bacterium
Lineage: Bacteria
Description: bacterial SSU rRNA
Rfam family: Bacterial small subunit ribosomal RNA
Source: RNAcentral